Molecule: long non-coding RNA, 2207 nt
Organism: Cryptotermes secundus
Lineage: Eukaryota; Metazoa; Arthropoda; Insecta; Blattodea; Kalotermitidae
Exons: 2
Source: RefSeq, a predicted model, not a curated record
UGAAUGUGGGCAGUUCCCACAUCGGUAUUCGACCCCGCCUCCACACAUGCAUGUGUUCUUCCCACUUUGAAAUCUUCUCUCUGAAGAGAAGAGGGAUCGGACAUAAAGAGAAGUGUCAAGUGUGCUGCCCAUAUAGUGAAGGCAAACCCUUAUUUUUCUCAUAACUCUCAUGAUGAUGGUAAAUAAUCUUAUGUUUCUGGUGAUCACAGUCCUAUCAUGAUUUACUGCACUGCUAGUAUAACCAUACUCAUCAGCUCUGCAGUUAUUGGGCAUUCAGCAGUUCAACUACAAACAACAUCAAAGGGCUUCCCCUUUGUAUUAUCUAAAGAGACAAGUUCUUGGUAGGUGAAGUGUUGAACACCUACCAAGAACCACAUCAAAAUAGCAAAGCUCCACUUCUACACCUGAAGAACAAGUAUGACACAGCAUCAUACAACCUACAUGCUGUAAACAACUGAAAUGCAGUACCUAUGGCAUAUAUACAUGAAUUUUAACAUAAUAUUAACCUUUUAUAAGAAAUUUAAGGCUCAAAUGCUUAAAUCAUUUAUUUUUUACCUGUAUGAAUUGUAAAGUCUCCAUUUAAUAUGGUUAACCCCUUGAAGACGGCCUUAUGUGACCAGAACAUACUGGCGUUUUGGCAACAUGUAAUCAGUACAAUAAUAUAAACCAGAUAUGCUUGGAUGCUAAUUUGCAUUUUGUCCUAAUUCUGGUUUGUGUAAUGACACCAUGUAGUUUGGUACAUGGUUAGCAGUAGUCUAGAGGAACCUGAUGCCUCAAUUUCAGGAUAGAAGCAAGCACUUACUCCAAAAAGGGAAACGGGAGGUUCCUCUAGACUGUGGUAACCACCUACCUGGCUACAUAAUGUCGUAAGCCAAAAGACCAAAAGUAUCCACCAUGUAAACCUGAAAUUUUGUAUGGCAUAGAGGUGGUCUGCUUGUUUUCGUGCAUGUGUGCAAAAAAUUGAGCUGCCUGUGUUAUUUAAAAUUUUACUUCAUAACUGUAGUACUUACUAAGUGGCAAGAAAUUUGUGAAGACAUCCAGUGCUGCUGCUGUUGGUGUAUGUAAAAUUGAAACAAAGGUGGAAAUAUUUAUGUUGUAAAAGCACUCAACCCUACUUUCAGUAACAUCUGAAUGAUAUUAUAUCCUGCAAUCCAACCAUCCUUCAAUGUAACAUAUUGGCUAAAGCCAGAACAGUGGAACAAGAAGAGGUGGUCCUUGCUAGAUAAUGGCACAGCAACAGAUAGUGACACAACAAUACAGGACACAAUCUCUUCUAUUUGGUCUGUGCCAAGGCUAUAUAAUGAGGGCCAGCAGCAGUGGAGAAGAGAGAUGUCUACACCACGGUUUUGGAUGGAGGAGACAAUAUCCACAUAUAGAGGGUAGCAACAAACAUGUAAAAUAGACAGUUGUACACAGCCUAUAAAGAGUGGACCCCACAAUGUGUGUUAGGUAUGUGGUUAAUAACUUUCGCCAUUAAAAUUGGCAGGUUCAGUUACAAAAUGUUAUGGACCCUUGGGCUUAGAAUCUGUGUUCUGACCAGCUGAAAUGAUAACUGCAUCUCAAGAAGGCCCCUGCCCCAAAGAUUUUAUUACAAAACUCAUUCUGUUCACUCAUAUUCGCCACAUACUUUCUAUUCUCAUUACUGCAUAUGUCAGACAUGGUUGCAACUGGGAAAGAUUCACAGAGCAAAAUAGAAGCUUCCUGAGAACUGAGUGACAUGGGUACCUGAGCCAUACAGUACUGUGAAUGAUAAAAACAAAUGGUUUGAAGAAAAAUUGUAAUUUCUAACUCAAAUUUCUUUUUUUUUUUUUAAUUAAAAACAGCAAACUUUCAGUUGUACAAGAGGGGUUCAACCCAUGUGUGGAUAAAUAUUCAUGCAGUAUGUAUAAUCUCAAUGCCUGAACUUGAAACAAACUGACCACAUUUGUAGUUCAUAAUUUCCACAUUCCCAGUAGUAAUGAAUACAACACAAAACAUGAACAUGUAUUUUCCACUUGUCAGCCAUGGUAUGCCACUCAUUACAGAUUUACAGACUACUAUUAAGCCUUGGGCAAAUUUAAUACAUACAUCCUCAUAACAAAAGCGUCUCUUCCCAUCAGAAUUAUAAACAAAAUUCUCCCCUAUACAAUUGUGGGUGUUACAAACAGAAGAACUCACAGAGGUAUAACAGGCACACUUACACAAAUCUCUCCAGCAUGCAUCCAAAA